GAUGAACGCUGGCGGCGUGCUUAACGCAUGCAAGUCGAACGAAGCAUUUGCGACAGAUUUUUUCGGAAUGAAGUUGCUUAUGACUGAGUGGCGGACGGGUGAGUAACGCGUGGGUAACCUGCCUUGUACUGGGGGAUAGCAGCUGGAAACGGCUGGUAAUACCGCAUAAGCGCACAAUGUUGCAUGACAUGGUGUGAAAAACCCCGGUGGUAUAAGAUGGACCCGCGUCUGAUUAGCUAGUUGGUGAGAUAACAGCCCACCAAGGCGACGAUCAGUAGCCGACCUGAGAGGGUGACCGGCCACAUUGGGACUGAGACACGGCCCAGACUCCUACGGGAGGCAGCAGUGGGGAAUAUUGCACAAUGGAGGAAACUCUGAUGCAGCGACGCCGCGUGAGUGAAGAAGUAAUUCGUUAUGUAAAGCUCUAUCAGCAGGGAAGAUAGUGACGGUACCUGACUAAGAAGCUCCGGCUAAAUACGUG
RNAcentral lists this ribosomal RNA (481 nucleotides) under uncultured bacterium. RNAcentral's name for it is "partial 16S ribosomal RNA". It matches the Rfam family "Bacterial small subunit ribosomal RNA", at positions 28 to 507 of the family's 1533-position model. The record is from RNAcentral.